RNAcentral lists this ribosomal RNA (161 nucleotides) under uncultured bacterium. RNAcentral's name for it is "partial 16S rRNA". It matches the Rfam family "Bacterial small subunit ribosomal RNA", at positions 358 to 511 of the family's 1533-position model. The record is from RNAcentral.
GGAAUCUUCCACAAUGGACGUAAGUCUGAUGGAGCAACGCCGCGUGAGUGAAGAAGGUCUUCGGAUCGUAAAACUCUGUUGUUAGAGAAGAACACGAGUGAGAGUAACUGUUCAUUCGAUGACGGUAUCUAACCAGCAAGUCACGGCUAACUACGUGCCAA